Molecule: long non-coding RNA, 346 nt
Organism: Triticum dicoccoides
Lineage: Eukaryota; Viridiplantae; Streptophyta; Magnoliopsida; Poales; Poaceae
Exons: 3
Source: RefSeq, a predicted model, not a curated record
UGGUACCAAGCUCAUCCUCCUCGUCCCUAGCUCUACACGACUGCCAUCCUGUAUAUUCCCUCCAGUUCAUGGAACAUAUGAACCUCUUACUGUAGUAGCUGGUUCUCAAGUAUUUUGAUUACAUCGAUGUCAAAGGUGACACGAACCAGAUCUUCAUCAACUAUAGCGCUAUUCAAAGCAUCGACACGAAGUCAGGUUGAAGGUGUUAAGGUGUUGGAGAUGUCCUUGUACUUGCUAAGCGUUUUAUCUGUAGUGGAAUAGUGUAUGGUUAUGUGGUGGCUAGAAUAUUGUAAUAAACUGUGUUUCUCCUUUGACUGGAAUAUUGUAAUAAGUUGUGUUUCUCCUU